This 507-nucleotide long non-coding RNA is filed under the name Phoenix dactylifera (date palm). Its description in RNAcentral is "long non-coding RNA (PDAC_LNC022959)". Lineage: Eukaryota; Viridiplantae; Streptophyta; Magnoliopsida; Arecales; Arecaceae. The record is from RNAcentral.
UUGAUCAGGAACCAAAGAGGAAGUUUGGGACAAUCAGAAAGGGAACGACUGAAAAAGGAAUAAUGUAGAGGUUUGCUUUUUAAAAAAAAAUUGCUGGAAAUUCUGGUAACAUCUGAACCUUUCUUAUUUCAAAUUGAUUCCCAUCUAGCCUGCAAGUUGUGGUGAUUGUUUGAUUUCAAUUUUUUUUACAAAAGUGUGAAUACAUGCUUGAUAUACAUACACCAAUUAAUCUGCACAUAGUAAGGGCAAUCACCCCAGCAAGAUAAGAACUGGUUUUCAUCACCAGAUUCUUGCCCAAAUUAGGUGAAUCAAUUCUCACAUAGCUUUCACCUUAAUUGAAAUCAAUUAGACGUUGGCCCCUAGGGACAUUCGAGCUCAAUAGGACGACGAUCACCGAAAGUUGCACCAAUUUCGCUCUGUGGCUCAGUUGAUGUCUAGGCAAGCUUUGUCCCUUUAAGGGAGACAGUUCAUCUGUUCGAAGCAAGUAGUUUUUAAGUGGGACCUUUG